CAAUGGAUAACUAACCUUCCAUGCUCUUUGAUUCGUUGUAUGCAUUCCUCCUUGGUACCAGAUAACCGCAACUGAUGCUUCCGCAGAUUUUCUUUUCCCAAAUUUCUCUCCUUUUCAUGGGCACAGUACAAUUCAAGCUCACGCGCGCAAGAAAAAAAGGGAGGGCAAGAAUGCAUUUCAAAUACAUGAAGAAAAAGGAUCCGUACCUUGACGAAGACGAACUCCGUUGUCGGUGCAAUCAUCAAAGCAUUCUUCCUCAUCC
Molecule: long non-coding RNA, 262 nt
Organism: Helianthus annuus (common sunflower)
Lineage: Eukaryota; Viridiplantae; Streptophyta; Magnoliopsida; Asterales; Asteraceae
Exons: 3
Source: RefSeq, a predicted model, not a curated record